Molecule: ribosomal RNA, 443 nt
Filed under: uncultured bacterium
Lineage: Bacteria
Description: partial 16S ribosomal RNA
Rfam family: Bacterial small subunit ribosomal RNA
Source: RNAcentral
CCUACGGGUGGCAGCAGGGGGGAAUAUUGGGCAAUGGAGGAAACGCGGACCCAGCAACGCCGCGGGAAUGAUGAAGGUCUUCGGAUUGUAAAGUUCUUUUCUAAGGGAAGAAGAAAGUGACGGUACCUUAGGAAUAAGCCUCGGCUAACUACGUGCAAGCAGCCGCGGUAAUACGUAGGAGGCGAGCGUUAUCCGGAAUGACUGGGCGUAAAGGGUGCGUAGGCGGUUAGAUAAGUUAGAGGUGAAAUCCCGGGGCUCAACUCCGGCACUGCCUCUGUUACUGUCGGGCUAGAGUUUAGUUGCGGUAGGCGGAAGGUAUGGUGUAGCGGUGAAAUGCAUAGAGAUCAUACAGAACACCGAUUGCGAAGGCAGCUUACCAAACUACGACUGACGUUGAGGCACGAAAGCGUGGGGAGCAAACAGGAUUAGAUACCCCAGUAGUC